Molecule: long non-coding RNA, 4485 nt
Organism: Triticum dicoccoides
Lineage: Eukaryota; Viridiplantae; Streptophyta; Magnoliopsida; Poales; Poaceae
Exons: 8
Source: RefSeq, a predicted model, not a curated record
GUGCCGCCGCUCCCAUAUGCCGCCACCACCAGCGCCCGCAGAGCGCCCGACCCCGAGCUCCUCCUCCCGUGCGCCUCCUACCCGGCCUUUCUCGCGAAUCAUCCGGCGACCGGCGCCACCGCUAGCGACUCCCAGGUCACGCCGCCGCUCCCCUGCCUUCUCUCUCUCUCAUCUCCUUUUCUAUCCUUCUCUCCAGGAGAUCAGCGCCAAUGCCUAGUCCUCGAGCUCACCUUGGAGGUUCGAACGCCGCCACGGGACCUCCACUGGACAGAUCCGGCAGCUCCAUCCCGGAUCUGCGUGCCCUCCACCUCCUCUACCCGAUCCGGCGCCGCCCAACCCGCCAUGACCUCCACCAUGGUGCCCGCCGAGAUCCUGUUCUCCGUCGACGCACCGUCGUCGCAUGAGGACUUGGAUGCCUGGCUCGCUGACAACCUCCCCCAAAUCCUACAGGAGGUUCAGAUCUAAUAAUGCAGGUGAAUUUGGGCUUGCCGAAAUAUAGGAGUGUGCUACGUGCCGCAGCAGGUUUGGAUGCGGCAAUAAAGACCAUGGCUCGGCUUGGGGAGCAUCAAGCAUCGACUUAUGUGAAGAGGCCAAGAUUCAAGGAUUUAAAUUGUCAAGAUAUAUGGUUGUUGGGGAUUCAAUAUUGUGCCAUUGUAUUUAAAAUUUUGAAUGAGCUGUCUGCCAUUGUUUAUAUCACAUCUUCCUUUGCUAGACCACAUGAGCUGAUUCCAACUUUGGCCUCAAGUUGCUCCCGUCUAUGACAAGUAGUUAGUUUUAUGGGUUCAGGUAUUGGCAAGCACCAUCCUUGGUUUAGUUCACAUGUCUUGAAUUAUUUUGACCAUUUUGGUAACAUCAAACUGGGUUGCAUAGAAGUAUCUGCUAAUUGGGUUUGACCUUUUUGAGGAAUGCUACUACAACACUUCAAAACUACUAGGCCGUUUUCAUCAGCAGCAUACAUAUAACCACAUGAUGGAACUCUGUAAUACAAGAGUGUACGAUGCAUUCCUCAGAUUCUAAGGGAUACCUGUGGAAGGUCUAUGAUAGCUGAUUUUAGAAGAUGCAUUUAUUGGUCUUGGCAUUAUAGUGCACAUAGUCGCUGCUGCUGAUGAAAUACUGGAUAAUGACAAGGAUAAUUAGUUGUUACACGAACUCUAGCAUGAGUAUUGUUUAUUUGACAUUAAUUGGAUUGGAUUACACCUUUUUGUUUGCUUGAACAUCAGUAUUGCAGUUAUCUGGAUGGAUAGCUAGCAAACCAUUUUGUGCAUAUCUCAACGGCGAUGAGGUAGCCCUCUAUGUUGUUGUCGCUUGAUGUUAGUAUUUUUUGGAUUCAGAUUUGCUUUGUGUGACGUUCCUCAUGUAGGAAUCAGUUUCAAUGUGGAGAGGAUUAACAUUUUGUUUCAGUUCAGUUUGUAGGCCUUACUGUCUGCAGGGACGGCCCUGAGGGGGGCAGGAGGGGCGGUCGCCCCGGGCCCCCACCUUACAGGGGCCCCCACGCCUAGUAUGCAUGCAUUCGGCCGGUAGCCCAUGGCCUAAUUUUUCGCUACUGCGACGUGCGAUUGCCAGCCUGUAUGGGUAUCGCAUAGUCAAAGGGCACACGUUACGGGAGCCCGAGAGCUAUCUACGGUCGUUCUUUCAUCUUCUUUUGCUCGUUUCCUAAAAUUUUCCUUCGCGAUGCAACUACGCGACCACGAUCUAUCUGUACGCGAUGAAAGCGGCAAUCAGCGGCGGCUACGGUGCAGAGAUCGGAGAGCUUCGGCCAACGGAGAGAUUGUUACUCUGGUGCUCCGGCUUGGCGCCUCUUUGUGUGAUCUGAUCGCUUCUCUAAUGCUGCGCCUAGAGCUCUAGGGAACUCCUCCUUGGAUCCAACCAGGGCAUCAAUCGAUCACCAGUUAACCACUUCUUGUCUUGCCGGCCGGAACCUUUGUACCUACACGGAACUAUGGAAAGGAUUUGUGGAUGAGUUGAUAAAAUCACAAAGAUGAGCCAUUGAUAAUUUUUUUGAGAAUGCCAUUGAUGCUUGGACGAAUAUAGAGUUUGCGACAGUAGCUAUGGAUGGGCAAGCUAAUGGAAUACAUGGAGAAAAUGUGAGUGUAAGUGACCCUGAGAACACUCUUAACACAUUGGAUGCACGACACAGUCCGCCAGUUAAUUUUAGGUUAACUUUGCAUCACAUGUUGCUUUGCAUCGAGGGAUGUAGAAUUAUAUUAAGGUAAUAUGUACAGGUUACGUGACAUAAAUAAUACCUUAAUUUGCAUUCAAGUGUUAGCUGGUAAUAGUCCAAUAUAUAACAGAAAUAGCCAAUGUGUCUUUGGUCCCAUUGCACCCGAACUGAAUUUUAUAUUUUAAAAGUAAUGAGAAGAGUAAAAAGAAAGUGAAACUUUUACUUUAACAAAGAUGACUUCGCGUAGUACUAUAUAAAUGCAUGAAAAAUUUCGCGAAGGAAUGACUACCAUGGUAUCCUGGACAAAAAGACAAAAUUGAUAGUACUCUAUAAAUGUUACCAUUCACAUUUUUUGGGCCUGCAAUUAUUUUCGCUGAGAAUACCAUGAGAGUAGUUUCUGCCCGAAACUUUUUGACUCCUUUAGUUUUCUAAUAUUUUUUUCCAAUUCAGGUGCAUUUGCCCUAUGUUUGAAAUAUCCGCAUCCUAUAUAUAUAAUGAUCGUUAUUGUUAUGGUGUCUGUAUUAAUGGCCCCGAAUUUUAGUUUCGCCCUGGGCCCCCAAAAUCUCAGGACCGGCCCUGACUGUCUGCAAAUUCUUAACAUACUUUCAUCAUAUGUGCAUCCAUAGCAAAUACUUUGAUCGGAAUCAUAGACUGCUCCAAGAUUACGUCAGUUGCGUAAGUGUAGCUCCAGUUGUUGACAUAGAGGACUAGAAUUGUCACAUGUGUAGUUAUGUUUUACCAAUGCUACAGAGUAUCUAGCAGAUAGUACUCCCUCUGUUCCGAAAUAAUUGUCGCUGGGCAAUCCCAGUACAAAUUCCGCAACGCUAUGAAUCUUUUCCACUUUCCAGAUUUACCCUUCCACCUUAUCCGCUCGCUCGCUCGCACCGCUCGCUUGCUCGCUCUCCCUCGCCGGCCACCUUAUCCCCUUCCCUCGUCGCCUCUCCCUCACCGGCCUCUCCUCUUCGUGGCCGGCCACUCCCUUUCCUCGUCGCCGCCUCCCUCCUCUCCUCGUCGCCGGCCUCUUCCUCUUCCUGUCGUCGGCCUCUUCCACCGCCCCUUUCUUCCCACCACCCCGCCUUCACUCACACCGGUAAAAAAUAUUGAUUCUUUUUGCGUCUUCGACGAGCUUCUCUGCGACGGAGGCAUGGAUGUGUAGCGGCGCCAGAGUUGGAUACGGGCUAGGGGGCAUGAAUGUGGACUGGCGCCCAAGCGGACCUAGAGCGACGGCGGAGCAGCGGAACGGCGCCGGAGCCUCCACGUCGCCGUCGUGCACAUCUCGUUGUUGUCCUCACACAUCGACGCAUGAUAAUUUGAUCGAAAAGGGACGGCAUGCUGAGGUGUGCAAAAGACAGUUUGCUGAUGGACAGUUUGCUGAAGGAGUACUUAACCAAGCAUGCUGAGGUCCCGGUUGGUAUACUGCCAGCAGCCUUGCCGGUCCAAGCAAUCAAGAUCAUCAGCAAGUCAAUAACGGAGACGGUCGAGCACUGUCAUCACACUAAACCUGCAACACCAGUGAGAUGACUGAAGAUUGGGUUGUGGUUGGAGUGAGAGGAGAAGCAAAUCACUUGACCAGUUGAAUCCUUGGGUGUACAAGACGGCCGAGCUGUGGCAGGUGAAGGAGCCGCUGCCGCUGCCCGCGCCGAAGAAGCGCAACUGCUCCAUGGUGUUCACCCUCAACGAGAUGGAGGAGGCCACCGGCAUGUUCAGCGACAAGAACCUCAUAGGCAAGGGCGGCUUCGGCCGUGUUUACAGGGGCGUGCUCAAAGAUGGGCAGAUUCUCUUGAUUGGAGUGGAGAGGAGCAGAGACGAGAGGAUCAGCAGAAGUGGACAGCGCAGCGGCUGACCUUGAGCUCUUGAUUGGAGUGGGGGGAGGCGGCCGGCGAAGGAUCUGUGGCCAACAACGAAGGAUCCGAAGUUGUCGUGGAGCAGGCAGCCGGCGGGAAGGGCGGUCGGCGAGGGAGCUGCGGAUCUUGGCGCGGAAGGGCAGCCUAUGAGGGAGCUGCGGACCAUGGCGGGGAAGGGCGUCCGGCCGGCAAGGGAGCUGCGGACCGCGGCGGGGAAGGACGCCGGAGAUGCGGACGACGGAGGAGCCCGGCAAAAGGGAGCAGCGACGGCGAAGAAGCCUGGCGGAGGGGAGGAGCGACGGAGGAAGACGCCUCCCGAUGGAUCAAAUCGGGGGUAGUAUUGUAAUUUCACACUAUUUCACCUGGUCGGAAAGAUGCCCCCAGCGACAAUUAUUUCGGAACGGAGGGAGUAAUUUUUUACAUAACCUAGAAUGUUCUUCUGAACUAUAAUUUUGAAUGAGCCAUUAUCUGAGAUUUAAA